GAUGAACGCUGGCGGCGUGCCUAAUACAUGCAAGUCGAGCGAACAGACGAGGAUCUUGCUCCUCUGACGUUAGCGGCGGACGGGUGAGUAACACGUGGAUAACCUACCUAUAAGACUGGGAUAACUUCGGGAAACCGGAGCUAAUACCGGAUAAUAUAUUGAACCGCAUGGUUCAAUAGUGAAAGACGGUUUUGCUGUCACUUAUAGAUGGAUCCGCGCCGCAUUAGCUAGUUGGUAAGGUAACGGCUUACCAAGGCAACGAUGCGUAGCCGACCUGAGAGGGUGAUCGGCCACACUGGAACUGAGACACGGUCCAGACUCCUACGGGAGGCAGCAGUAGGGAAUCUUCCGCAAUGGGCGAAAGCCUGACGGAGCAACGCCGCGUGAGUGAUGAAGGUCUUCGGAUCGUAAAACUCUGUUAUUAGGGAAGAACAAAUGUGUAAGUAACUAUGCACGUCUUGACGGUACCUAGUCAGAAAGCCACGGCUAACUACGUG
Molecule: ribosomal RNA, 497 nt
Filed under: uncultured bacterium
Lineage: Bacteria
Description: partial 16S ribosomal RNA
Rfam family: Bacterial small subunit ribosomal RNA
Source: RNAcentral